GCCACCAAAUUAAAAAAGCCCAAAAUCCUUCCCACCAUAUCUUGCCAAAAUAAAAAUCCCGGUUUUUCUACGCUAAAAUUUUAUUUCCUUCCAAUUCUCCAUCUCUCAAUCUAUCCAUUUUGGUAGGUUUCAGUUAAUUAUGGUUCAGAAAAUCCCCCAAAUAACAAUGAAUUCAUAUCAAAUUUUCAUACUGCGCUAUUGAUUCUAUCAUUCUCUCUAGUCUGCAGUUUUUAUUUUUCUAGUUGUGAAAGGGAUUUUGAAGCAUAUAAGGUUUGAAUCGGGAGAUUGGUGGAGAUUUUUUCUUCUUCACUACCUUAAAAAGGUAUCUUUUUUUUUUUCCGUUCCUGAAUCUGAGCGGUAGUUUCUGUGUAAUUUUUUGGCAGAGGGUAUGUCAAACCAGAAUCUGCCAUUUUAAUAUGUUGUGGUGUAUAAACUUAUCUUUCUAGAUUUACAAAUUUCGUUCCUUUAUCAUUACAUACAGAGAUUUAUGUAAAUUUUUAAGCACUAAAAACGUUUUGUCCAGAGAGGUUCUUAUGGAUUUGUCCAAAAUCAAAUAGAUUCAAUUACUGCUCAUCUUGGAUUUGUUUUGAACAACCUUAUUUAAAAGUACACAUUUAACUCACCAUAGUUAUUUUAUCUGUUAUUAUGUUGGAGGAAUGAAGGAGCCUUAUUCAUGGCUUGAUAAAUUUGUAUACCAGACAUUGAAUGAAUUAGAUAGGACAAAUACUUAAAUAGAGAAAUCUGGACGACAUUUAAAAUGACAAGUAAAUUUUGCUUCAGGGAAUUCUUGGGGACAGAUAGAGGUUUCAAAACUGUCAUUGGUGCUAUUAACUUCAAGAAAGAUUGGCGUAACAAUUCCAGAAAAUUUUGAGAGUGAUUGUUGCUGUUCUAAUCCUUUGGUUCGAUUCAAAGCUUGAAGCAGCUCUCAGUUCCUUUGGUGGUGGAACAACACAAGUUGUCCUGUUAGGUGCAGGUGAAUGCCAAAGCUCCUAACAUUUCAAUAUAGUAAACAAGAUAUUUCUUUUGCAUAUGUUUAAUUAUCAAAUUUGCAUAAUAAAGAUGCCAUAUGGGAGCUUCGAACAUGAGAGCUUGGUUAUUUGCAACCGGCCUGAGUAUCUGCUGACACACAUGGCUCAUCUAUUUUGUGUUUGCCAAUGACAAGCUCAUGUGUGUAUAUUCGUGUAUAUAUGUAUAUAGGUAUCAGUGCGCGUGUGUGUGUGUGUGUGUGUGUUUAUAUAUGAAUGUAUAAGUACAUGUUUGCAUACAUAUUUGGUCUCUUAUGCACACAAUUAUAAUUUCUUUCAAUUGAUAGUAAAAUAAAUUAUUACUUUAAAG
RNAcentral lists this long non-coding RNA (1335 nucleotides) under Olea europaea subsp. europaea. Lineage: Eukaryota; Viridiplantae; Streptophyta; Magnoliopsida; Lamiales; Oleaceae. The record is from RNAcentral.